AGUGUUCAAUAGAACUGUGGUAGGUGAGUAAUGUCCCCUACUAGAAAGGAGAGGGCAAGGCUGGUGCCAGCCGUCGCGGUAAAACCAGCUCUUCAAGUGGUCGGGAUAAUUAUUGGGCUUAAAGUGUCCGUAGCCGGUUUAGUAAGUUCCUGGUAAAAUCGGGUAGCUUAACUAUCUGCAUGCUAGGAAUACUGCUAUACUAGAGGGCGGGAGAGGUCUGAGGUACUACAGGGGUAGGGGUGAAAUCUUAUAAUCCUUGUAGGACCACCAGUGGCGAAGGCGUCAGACUGGAACGCGCCUGACGGUGAGGGACGAAAGCCAGGGGAGCGAACCGGAUUAGAUACCCGGGUAGUCCUGGCCGUAAACGAUGCAUACUAGGUGAUGGUACGGCCAUGAGCCGUAUCAGUGCCGUAGGGAAACCGUUAAGUGU
This 430-nucleotide ribosomal RNA is filed under the name uncultured deep-sea archaeon. RNAcentral's name for it is "bacterial SSU rRNA". It matches the Rfam family "Archaeal small subunit ribosomal RNA", at positions 384 to 822 of the family's 1478-position model. The record is from RNAcentral.